RNAcentral lists this transfer-messenger RNA (386 nucleotides) under Helicobacter pylori. It matches the Rfam family "transfer-messenger RNA". From Rfam's summary of the family: Bacterial tmRNA, also known as 10Sa RNA or SsrA, is named for its dual tRNA and mRNA-like properties. Its role is to liberate the mRNA from a stalled ribosome. The record is from RNAcentral. Lineage: Bacteria; Pseudomonadati; Campylobacterota; Epsilonproteobacteria; Campylobacterales; Helicobacteraceae.
GGGGCUGACUUGGAUUUCGACAGAUUUCUUGUCGCACAGACAGCAUGCCAAGUGCUGCUUGUAAAACAGCAACAAAAAUAACUGUAAACAACACAGAUUACGCUCCAGCUUACGCUAAAGCUGCGUGAGUUAAUCUCCUUUUGGAGCUGGACUGAUUAGAAUUUCUAGCGUUUUAAUCACUCCAUAACCUUAAGCUAGACGCUUUUAAAAGGUGGUUCGCCUUUUAAACUAAGAGACAAGAACUCUUGAAACUAUCUCAAGGUUUUAGAAAGUUGGACCAGAGCUAGUUUUAAGGCUAAAAAACCAACCAAUUUUCUAAGCAUUGUAGAAGUUUGUGUUUAGGGCAAGAUUUUUGGACUGGGGUUCGAUUCCCCACAGCUCCACCA